GAUGAACGCUGGCGGCGUGCCUAAUACAUGCAAGUCGAGCGAACAGACGAGGAUCUUUCUCCUCUGACGUUAGCGGCGGACGGGUGAGUAACACGUGGAUAACCUACCUAUAAGACUGGGAUAACUUCGGGAAACCUGAGCUAAUGCCGGAAAAUAUAUUGAACCUCAUGGUUCCAUCGUGAAAGACGGUUUUUCUUUCACUUAUAGAUUGAUCCGCGCCGCAUUAAUUAGUUGGUAAGGUAACGGGUUACCAAGGCAACGAUGCGUAGCGCACCCCAGAGGGAGGAUGGCUAGAUGGGCAGUGAGAAAGGGCACAGACUCCUAGGGGGGGAAGCAGUAGGGACUCCUACGCAAGGGACGAAAGCCUAACGGAGCAAAGUCGGGUGAGGGAUGACGGUCUCAGGCUGGGAAAACGAUGUUAUUAGGGAAAAAGAAAUGUGCUAGUACCGAUGAACGUCUUGACGGUACCUAAUGAGAAAGCCACGGCUAACUACGUG
Molecule: ribosomal RNA, 497 nt
Filed under: uncultured bacterium
Lineage: Bacteria
Description: partial 16S ribosomal RNA
Rfam family: Bacterial small subunit ribosomal RNA
Source: RNAcentral